AGCCCCCCUAUCAUUUGUACUCAGCCCCCCUAAAAAUUCUCCAUAAACUUUACACAAAUUGGUGAUCGGCCACGUCCGCUUUAAAUUUCAUAUGAAAACGGCGGCAGACUUCGGCUCCGCAACGUCUUUCAGCGCGGUCUUCAACUGAAUUAUCACAGACUGCGGCAUCACAGAGCGAGGAUUAAGCCAAGAUCGUCCUGAGCUGACAUCGGAGCCGCCUUGUCUACGUUUGGAGUACGUCUGCCGACCGAUUCCUGUUUUCAACAGAAGCACUGAUGAGCGGCAGGUGAAGGCGGGGAUCUCCAAGGGGCCGUCUGACCGGCGAUGCUCACAGGAGAAGCCGAUCGAUGAUCAGACGAGAGCAGCCCUCACGGUUCACAUUACACCUUUUAAGGAAAAUGGCCACUUUGAUGCUCUCCAAGGACUGAAAUGGGAGGCCUCGACCUGCAUAUAUCUUAAUAUUCCCCCAUGUAAUGUCCUCCACAAUAUACCAGGAUGUUCUCCAGGUCCUGCUCAGGCUUCUGGGAGAUGGCUGCAGCCUGUGUUGUGAUGCUGUCAGGCCACCUCAAAUCCCCCUCAUGUGCCUGGCCCUGAGAGAAUGGUGGAGGGGGGGGGGGUGAAGGACAGUAGUGUGAACUAGGUGCCCUGCACUCAUUCUUCGUGAUUUUCAGGGCCCUUCCCUGAUGCCCAAAUCGCAGAGCCCCAGAAAGGGUCCUUUGGGAAGUCUGUCAAAUGACCUGGUUAAGCGGGCAAUUGUUCUCGCGAGUCUGGCCUUGGCGCACGGUACAGUAGACGGAGCGGACUGAUCGAUGUCACGGACAACAUGCCGGGACACUUUGAGUGAAAAAUAAAGGGCUCACCCAGUCUGCGCUCUGGAAUCCCUGUGAUGAAAUGUGCCGGCUUUGUUCCCUUCCGAGGCGGUGCGCUGUUCCAUUCUGCAUGGGUAAUCAUGUGACGAAUGACCCUGAUUGGCUCCAACAAAGGCCCGUCAAAGGCUUGGAUCUUUUGGUCUUCAGCCCCGCCUGUCAGACGCCACGGUGGCAGCUGAUUGGCAGAGCUGUGUCUGGAGCCUCCUGGAAAGGAUGCCCUGCCAUGGACAUUCCUGUAAAGUGGGCACGCGCGCCAGAGCAUGGGUGGGAGCGAUCUGCCCUGCCACAAACCACAACGAUCUUCAUAAUCAUCAGAAUCAAAACGGUGACCAUCUGUGGCUGGCAGACUGAGCUCUGUGAAGAGUAUAGGAGUCAAGUUGUGUUGGAAGCCAACACAGCUAAACCAGGAAGAACAAAGCUUCACCAGGAAGGGCUGAUUUUAUGGCUAUAUUGUAGGGCAAUCUGUGUGCUGUAUUAUUAUCAGUCAUGUCUGCUAUUCACAUCAUUAAACAUCUUUUUUAUUAUAAAUUUGUGUUCUUAAAAGGUCCUUUUGAUCAUCAGCAAAGAGAAAAGGCAUGUUUAGGUUUGACCUUAAGGAAAAUAUCAAUAUCAGGUACACAUAUGCACACAAACGCUUUUAUGCUGCUAUAGCAGGAAAAUAUAAGUAUUUUUUCAUUCAUUGUGUCUGAUGUGUCAUUGGAGAAGUAUCUGCAUUUUUAUGUGUGUGCCUCAUGAAUAUGCAAAUAUUUUCAUAUAUCAAUGAGAACAGCACAAGUCACAUGCUACCCUCUCUCUGAUGCUAUGCCGGAAGCCUAAUAUCUUGAUAGAAAGAAAACUGAAUGUCCUGCUUGUGAUCAAUAAAGCCCUUUUAGGAGGUUUUCAAGAUUUGCACUCAUAUCUGCUCAAUGUUCUCCUUUUCUCAACUGGAUGAAUGAAAAGGCGCUUGCAGCUGGCGA
Molecule: long non-coding RNA, 1825 nt
Organism: Paramormyrops kingsleyae
Lineage: Eukaryota; Metazoa; Chordata; Actinopteri; Osteoglossiformes; Mormyridae
Source: RefSeq, a predicted model, not a curated record